Malurus melanocephalus (red-backed fairy wren) is the source of this 999-nucleotide long non-coding RNA. RefSeq lists it as uncharacterized. NCBI's taxonomy places the organism in Eukaryota, Metazoa, Chordata, Aves, Passeriformes, Maluridae. The transcript is spliced from 3 exons. The record is from RefSeq and is a predicted model, not a curated record.
GUUCCUUCAGUGAUGGCUGCGGGGUCGCUCCGUGAGGGCACAGCCGCUGCAGCCCUCGGAACGGCACCUCGGCUCCUUCCCGGCAUAGCAGGGCUCUGGAAAGGUCACAGAAUCACAGAAUAAUUGGGGUUGGAAGGACCUUUGGCGAUCAGCCAGGCAGGGUCACCUGGAGCAGGKGACACAGGAACGCGUCCAGGGAGGAYGAGCAUUCCCAGUUACCUGCUCUGCAUGUGGAUGUCCACAGGGAUGAAUGUCACCGUGGGCUGCUGGCACAGGCUGUGGCUGUUGUGSCCCAGGGGAGGUGGCACUGCCAGCUUGGAGGCUUUGGGUUCCAGCUCCCGCCGCACUCGCAUUCGCCUGCCAAAGCAAGUCAAGAGGUCCAAGGUCUGUGUCUCCAGCCAGGGUGGAAGGUGCCAGAACUGCUCUUACCUGGAGUCCCAGCUCCAUUCCUGCCCYGUGAAUCAGCAGGUUACACCUGACYGAGCCUCUGCUGCAGGAAAGACCCAGCAAAGCCCAGCAAAAUCCAUGGGAACCUACCGGUUUUCAGSCUGGAUCCUACUCUGGUUAGAAAAACGUWURGAAAAUCAAGAGGUCUGGAUAAAAGCCUUUCAGCAAGGGAGAAGAAGUGGACUUUGAUACAGUAAUCACAGRACAUUCUUUGUCCAUGACACAGGGCUGCACUUCCCCCUGUGCACACACACCUGCCUGGGCUGAGAGCCUCUCAUUCACCCUCACUCUCCACACUGCUGGUUAUUUUUGCAUCCCCACAUUAUGGAGCUGGAAAUAUUUCCAUCUAAAGUUCAGCUUUGGGCACGUUUCCAUCCCAAACACCUUGGCAGAUACAGGGGAUAGGUUGUUCUGGCAAGUGGCAGCAAUGCCCCCUUUUCUAAAGCCUUCCUGCUCCCCUGCCCUGCUGAAUUCCCUGCUGAGCUGRGCUGGGUUUGUUUGGGAGGAGAUGGGGAUCAGAGCUCACCUGUCAGCAGCAGCUGGCCACAGGGA